UGGGGAUAACAUUGCGAAAGCGAUGCUAAUACCGGAUAAUAUCUCGGGGUCUUCGGUCUUCGGGAUCAAAGGUGGCCUCUACAUGUAAGCUACUGUUUGGAGAUGAGCUCGCGUACCAUUAGCUUGUUGGUAGGGUAAUGGCCUACCAAGGCUACGAUGGUUAGCUGGUCUGAGAGGAUGAUCAGCCACACUGGAACUGACACACGGUCCAGACUCCUACGGGAGGCAGCAGUGAGGAAUUUUGCGCAAUGGGGGAAACCCUGACGCAGCAACGCCGCGUGAGUGAUGAAGGCUUUCGGGUCGUAAAGCUCUGUCAAGUGGGAAGAACUUGCCCGAUGCAAACACCAUCGGGCACUGACGGUACCACUGAAGGAAGCACCGGCUAACUCCGUGCCAGCAGCCGCGGUAAUACGGGGGGUGCAAGCGUUAUUCGGAAUCAUUGGGCGUAAAGGGCGCGUAGGCGGCUUCUUAAGUCAGAUGUGAAAGCCCGGGGCUUAACCCCGGAAGUGCAUUUGAAACUGGGAGGCUUGAGUAUGGGAGAGGGAAGUGGAAUUCCUGGUGUAGAGGUGAAAUUCGUAGAUAUCAGGAGGAACACCGGUGGCGAAGGCGACUUCCUGGACCAAUACUGACGCUGAGGCGCGAAGGCGUGGGUAGCAAACAGGAUUAGAUACCCUGGUAGUCCACGCAGUAAACGUUGUUCACUAGGUGUAGCGGGUAUUGACCCCUGCUGUGCCGCAGUUAACGCAUUAGUGAACCGCCUGGGAAGUACGGCCGCAAGGUUAAAACUCAAAGGAAUUGACGGGGGCCCGCACAAGCGGUGGAGCAUAUGGUUUAAUUCGACGCAACGCGAAGAACCUUACCUGGGUUUGACAUCCCGAGAAGUCUCUUGAAAGAGAGAUGUGCCCUUCGGGGAGCUCGGUGACAGGUGCUCAUGGCUGUCGUCAGCUCGUCGUGAGAUGUUGGGUUAAGUCCCGCAACGAGCGCAACCCUUAUCUUUAGUUACCAGCAUUCAGUUGGGGACUCUAAAGAUACUGCCCCGGUUAACGGGGAGGAAGGUGGGGAUGACGUCAAGUCCUCAUGGCCCUUAUACCCAGGGCUACACACGUGCUACAAUGGGCUGUACAAAGGGUCGCGAGCCCGCGAGGGUUAGCUAAUCCCAUAAAGCAGCUCUAAGUUCGGAUUGGAGUCUGCAACUCGACUCCAUGAAGCUGGAAUCGCUAGUAAUCGUGGAUCAGCACGCCACGGUGAAUACGUUCCCGGGCCUUGUACACACCGCCCGUCACACCAUGAGAGUUGGUUGUACCAGAAGUUGUUGGACCAACCCGCAAGGGAGGUAAGCACCUAAGGUAUGGCUGAUGAUUGGGGUGAAGUCGUAACAAGGUA
Molecule: ribosomal RNA, 1383 nt
Filed under: metagenome
Description: bacterial SSU rRNA
Rfam family: Bacterial small subunit ribosomal RNA
Source: RNAcentral